Molecule: transfer RNA, 74 nt
Filed under: Plectonema cf. radiosum LEGE 06105
Lineage: Bacteria; Bacillati; Cyanobacteriota; Cyanophyceae; Oscillatoriales; Microcoleaceae
Also listed under: 9 other names
Rfam family: tRNA
About the family: Transfer RNA (tRNA) molecules are approximately 80 nucleotides in length.
Source: Rfam by way of RNAcentral
CGGGGCGUAGCGCAGCUUGGUAGCGUGCCACUUUGGGGUAGUGGAGGUCGUGGGUUCAAAUCCCGCCGCUCCGA